CACCACGUCCGGCUAAUUUUUUUCUAUUUUUAGUAGAGAUGGGGUUUCACUGUUUUGGCCACGCUGGUCUCGAACUCCUGACCUCGUGAUCCGCCCGCUUCGGCCUUCCAAAGUGCUGGGAUUACAAGCGUGAGCCACCGCGCCCGGCUUAUCCUGCUUUUGGUUUCAGGUCUCCAUGCCAGUGAAAUGUCACCUCAACUCCACCGUUCCUGGUGUCAGGCAAGCCCGAGGUACCCAAUUCUGCCUUUCUUCUGGAUUUUCCUAACCUGUGAAGAGUCUUGAAAGUCCUUAAACCACGGGAGACUACCUGGCACAUGACACGGGAUGAGACUUGGUGGGGGUCCCACGGAGGACAGGUCGUUCCAGCGGUUCCUCCGCACCCAGCGCUGCACGGGCCCGGGGCGCGGGAAAUCAGCCUCCCGAAAGCCACGUGAGUCACGGUCCUGCCUGCGAAGAACUCCCAGGGCGACCUUGGGGCUGAGGAGUGGGCCUGCUUCGGCCUUCUGCUUUUCUGUUGCGUGGUGACCCUCACCAGAGGACAGCUUCAUGCUCUUGGACUUCCCAGCCUCAAGAACUGUAAGAAAUGAAUUUCUUUAUAAGUUGCCCAGUCUGUGGUAUUUGGUUAUAGCA
RNAcentral lists this small RNA (630 nucleotides) under Pongo abelii (Sumatran orangutan). Its description in RNAcentral is "retained intron". The record is from RNAcentral. Lineage: Eukaryota; Metazoa; Chordata; Mammalia; Primates; Hominidae.